Molecule: ribosomal RNA, 118 nt
Filed under: Pteropus vampyrus (large flying fox)
Lineage: Eukaryota; Metazoa; Chordata; Mammalia; Chiroptera; Pteropodidae
Source: RNAcentral
UCUAUGGCCAUGCUACCCUGAACGAGCCUGAUCUCUUCUGGUCUUGGAAGCUAAGCAGGGUUGGGCCUGGUUAAUACUUGGAUGGGAGACCACCUAGGAAGACCAGGUGCUAUAAGAG